GAUGAACGCUGGCGGCGUGCCUAAUACAUGCAAGUCGAGCGAACAGAUGAGGAGCUUGCUCCUCUGACGUUAGCGGCGGACGGGUGAGUAACACGUGGAUAACCUACCUAUAAGACUGGGAUAACUUCGGGAAACCGGAGCUAAUACCGGAUAAUAUAUUGAACCGCAUGGUUCAAUAGUGAAAGACGGUUUUGCUGUCACUUAUAGAUGGAUCCGCGCCGCAUUAGCUAGUUGGUAAGGUAACGGCUUACCAAGGCAACGAGGCGUAGCCGACCUGAGAGGGUGGUCGGCCACCCUGGAACUGAGACACGGUCCAGACUCCUACGGGAGGCCGCAGUAGGGAAUCUUCCGCAAUGGGCGAAAGCCUGACGGAGCAACGCCGCGUGAGUGAUGAAGGUCUUCGGAUCGUAAAACUCUGUUAUUAGGGAAGAACAAAUGUGUAAGUAACUAUGCACGUCUUGACGGUACCUAAUCAGAAAGCCACGGCUAACUACGUG
Molecule: ribosomal RNA, 497 nt
Filed under: uncultured bacterium
Lineage: Bacteria
Description: partial 16S ribosomal RNA
Rfam family: Bacterial small subunit ribosomal RNA
Source: RNAcentral